RNAcentral lists this ribosomal RNA (502 nucleotides) under uncultured Acidobacteriota bacterium. Its description in RNAcentral is "bacterial SSU rRNA". It matches the Rfam family "Bacterial small subunit ribosomal RNA", at positions 355 to 848 of the family's 1533-position model. Lineage: Bacteria; Pseudomonadati; Acidobacteriota. The record is from RNAcentral.
UGGGGAAUUGUUCGCAAUGGGCGCAAGCCUGACGACGCAACGCCGCGUGGAGGAUGAAGAUCUUCGGGUCGUAAACUCCUGUCGAGCGGGACGAACGCUUCGCGGAUGAAUACUCCGCGGAAUUGACGGUACCGCUAAAGGAAGCCCCGGCUAACUCCGUGCCAGCAGCCGCGGUAAUACGGGGGGGCAAGCGUUGUUCGGAAUUACUGGGCGUAAAGGGCUCGUAGGCGGCCAACUCAGUCGGAUGUGAAAUCCCCAGGCUCAACUUGGGAACUGCAUCCGAUACUGGUUGGCUUGAAUCCGGGAGAGGGAUGCAGAAUUCCAGGUGUAGCGGUGAAAUGCGUAGAUAUCUGGAGGAAUACCGGUGGCGAAGGCGGCAUCCUGGACCGGCAUUGACGCUGAUGAGCGAAAGCCAGGGGAGCAAACGGGAUUAGAUACCCCGGUAGUCCUGGCCCUAAACGAUGAAUGCUUGGUGUGACGGGUAUCGAUCCCUGUCGUGCCG